This is a long non-coding RNA of Octopus sinensis (East Asian common octopus), 364 nucleotides long. RefSeq lists it as uncharacterized. The record is from RefSeq and is a predicted model, not a curated record. The transcript has 3 exons. Lineage: Eukaryota; Metazoa; Mollusca; Cephalopoda; Octopoda; Octopodidae.
GGGUACGUUGUGACACUUACUGGGGUACUUUCUUACAACUGUCGAUAAGUCGGUAUUAUGUUAACAAACAAGUUUAAAAUGAAUACGUCUCCUGCUUCUUGCAUCUAGGAAGUUUUAUUUUAAUUAAUUAACUGUGCUUUGAACCACCUCAUAUCCCAACUGUGAUACUGAGAGUCCUCAUCAGCCAAUUUCCCCAUUGUUACAUGUGCCAUCUAGUCGGAAUCGUCCUCCAUUAACUUCUCACCACACAGAUCACACAGAAAAGCCCUCUCGUCCAUCGGUACAGUCAGUGUGUGCCCAGUCUUUACAGAUCAUCCAUUGCACCCAUUCUUCACCUGGAAGGGAGUUGGAAUACCAAUCUGAG